UACGUAGGGGGCAAGCGUUGUCCGGAAUCAUUGGGCGUAAAGAGCGCGUAGGCGGCCCAGUAAGUCCGCUCUGAAAGUCAGAGGCUCAACCUCUGAAUGCGGGUGGAUACUGCUGGGCUAGAGUCCGGAAGAGGCGAGUGGAAUUCCUGGUGUAGCGGUGAAAUGCGCAGAUAUCAGGAGGAACACCGAUGGCGAAGGCAGCUCGCUGGGACGGUACUGACGCUGAGGCGCGAAAGCGUGGGGAGCGAACAGG
Molecule: ribosomal RNA, 253 nt
Filed under: uncultured bacterium
Lineage: Bacteria
Description: partial 16S ribosomal RNA
Rfam family: Bacterial small subunit ribosomal RNA
Source: RNAcentral